GACGAACGCUGGCGGCGUGCUUAACACAUGCAAGUCGAACGGAAAGGCCCUGCUUUUGUGGGGUGCUCGAGUGGCGAACGGGUGAGUAACACGUGAGUAACCUGCCCUUGACUUUGGGAUAACUUCAGGAAACUGGGGCUAAUACCGGAUAGGAGCUCCUGCUGCAUGGUGGGGGUUGGAAAGUUUCGGCGGUUGGGGAUGGACUCGCGGCUUAUCAGCUUGUUGGUGGGGUAGUGGCUUACCAAGGCUUUGACGGGUAGCCGGCCUGAGAGGGUGACCGGCCACAUUGGGACUGAGAUACGGCCCAGGCUCCUACGGGAGGCAGCAGUGGGGAAUAUUGCACAAUGGGCGGAAGCCUGAUGCAGCAACGCCGCGUGCGGGAUGACGGCCUUCGGGUUGUAAACCGCUUUCGCCUGUGACGAAGCGUGAGGGACGGUAAUGGGUAAAGAAGCACCGGCUAACUACGUG
This 468-nucleotide ribosomal RNA is filed under the name uncultured bacterium. Its description in RNAcentral is "partial 16S ribosomal RNA". It matches the Rfam family "Bacterial small subunit ribosomal RNA", at positions 28 to 507 of the family's 1533-position model. The record is from RNAcentral.